GACGAACGCUGGCGGCGUGCUUAACACAUGCAAGUCGAGCGGAAAGGCCCUUUCGGGGGUACUCGAGCGGCGAACGGGUGAGUAACACGUGAGUAACCUGCCCUGGACUUUGGGAUAACCCUCGGAAACGGGGGCUAAUACCGGAUAUGACAUGGUUUCGCAUGAAAUUGUGUGGAAAGUUUUUCGGUCUGGGAUGGGCUCGCGGCCUAUCAGCUUGUUGGUGGGGUGAUGGCCUACCAAGGCGACGACGGGUAGCCGGCCUGAGAGGGCGACCGGCCACACUGGGACUGAGACACGGCCCAGACUCCUACGGGAGGCAGCAGUGGGGAAUAUUGCACAAUGGGCGGAAGCCUGAUGCAGCGACGCCGCGUGAGGGAUGACGGCCUUCGGGUUGUAAACCUCUUUCAGCACCGACGAAGCGAGAG
This 425-nucleotide ribosomal RNA is filed under the name uncultured bacterium. RNAcentral's name for it is "bacterial SSU rRNA". It matches the Rfam family "Bacterial small subunit ribosomal RNA", at positions 28 to 456 of the family's 1533-position model. The record is from RNAcentral.